RNAcentral lists this ribosomal RNA (422 nucleotides) under uncultured bacterium. RNAcentral's name for it is "bacterial SSU rRNA". It matches the Rfam family "Bacterial small subunit ribosomal RNA", at positions 355 to 774 of the family's 1533-position model. The record is from RNAcentral.
UGAGGAAUAUUGGGCAAUGCCCGAAAGGGUGGCCCAGCAACGCCGCGUGGAGGAUGAAGGUCGUAAGAUUGUAAACUCCUGUUAGAGGGGAAGAAUAACUAAGUUUGGAGCUUAGUAUGACUGUACCCUCAGAGAAAGCCCCGGCUAACUACGUGCCAGCAGCCGCGGUAAUACGUAGGGGGCAAGCGUUGUCCGGAUUUACUGGGUGUAAAGGGCGCGCAGGCGGAAUGGAAAGUCAGUGGUGAAAUCCUACAGCUUAACUGUAGAACUGCCUUUGAUACUUUCAUUCUUGAGUUCGGGAGAGAGAGACGGAAUUCCAGGUGUCGUGGUGAAAUACGUAGAUAUCUGGAAGAACACCAGUUGCGAAGGCGGUCUCUUGGUCCGAUACUGACGCUGAGGCGCGAAAGCGUGGGGAGCAAACA